Molecule: ribosomal RNA, 497 nt
Filed under: uncultured bacterium
Lineage: Bacteria
Description: partial 16S ribosomal RNA
Rfam family: Bacterial small subunit ribosomal RNA
Source: RNAcentral
GAUGAACGCUGGCGGCGUGCCUAAUACAUGCAAGUCGAGCGAACAGACGAGGAGCUUGCUCCUCUGACGUUAGCGGAAGACGGGUGAGUAACACGUGGAUAACCUACCUAUAAGACUGGGAUAACUUCGGGAAACCGGAGCUAAUACCGGAUAAUAUAUUGAACCGCAUGGUUCAAUAGUGAAAGACGGCUUUGCUGUCACUUAUAGAUGGAUCCGCGCCGCAUUAGCUAGUUGGUAAGGUAAAGGCUUACCAAGGGGACGAUGCGUAGCCGACCUGUGAGGGUGAUCGCCCACACUGGAACGUAGACACCGUCCAUACUCCUACGGGAGGCAGCAGUAUCGAAUCUGCCGCAGUGGGCGAAAGCCUUACGGAGCAACGCCACGUCAGUUACGAAGGUCCUCGGAGCGUAAUACUCUGUUACUAGUUAAGAACAAAUUUGGAAUGAACCAUGGCCGGCGUGACGGUACCGAAUCAGAAAGCCACGGCUAACUACGUG